RNAcentral lists this long non-coding RNA (513 nucleotides) under Oncorhynchus kisutch (coho salmon). RNAcentral's name for it is "lncRNA (ENSOKIG00005008289.1)". Lineage: Eukaryota; Metazoa; Chordata; Actinopteri; Salmoniformes; Salmonidae. The record is from RNAcentral.
UGUCCCCUCUUGAAUAAUUAUGACCGGUUUAGACAUUAGUGCCUCCCAUUCUCAUGAUUUAUUCAUCGGCUUCUAGUUUGCUGUGCACUGCUCUGGUCAAUCAGAGGUUGCACCGGUAGGCGUGCUAGCGAUCCAUACAUAGGUUACUGCAGUUGUGGCACAUAUGACUUUUUGUUGUGAAUCGGUCCGGCAACUAUAGUUGCUCGGUUGAAGUUACCUGCAGCGGUGGGAUUGGCUACUUCCGAGUGGCGCGUGCUGGGUGAACAUGUAGACGUAGGCUAAGAUAACGUCAGCUGUAGCGAGCAAUUUCGCUUGAGGAUCCCAAAGAAACCGUCUGGUUGCAGUUCUCUACAGCGGCUACCGGUUGUCGGCAGGCUAUUUGCUGCGACUGAUGCGAAGCGGCUAGUGAGGCUGGAGAGAGAGUCAAGCAAGAGAGCUGUGCUGGGUGUCUGCCCCCUUUGUAGUGGGAUCAGGAUCGGGACUAUGGUUCAUGUUCAUCAUAGAGACAUGUAG